UUUCCGUAGGUGAACCUGCGGAAGGAUCAUUUGAGUUUCUAUUCUCAGAAUAGACGAUUCAAUAAUCAAAGUCAACCGUGUGAAAGUGUCAUAACCCCAUACAAAAACAAUGGGCGAGAAUCAUCGCUGUUUUGCGGCAAAUGUAAUCUAUUUGUCGCAGCAGCACAUCUCGCUCAGCUGUUUUUGCGUGCUUUUUUUGUGCGAUGGAUAAACCACAAAUAUACACAAACAUGCCAAAAGCAUACAAAACAAAAACAAAACCAAAAAUGAACAGUUUUAACGGUGGAUCUCUAGGCUCGC
RNAcentral lists this unclassified non-coding RNA (300 nucleotides) under soil metagenome. Its description in RNAcentral is "partial contains small subunit ribosomal RNA, internal transcribed spacer 1, and 5.8S ribosomal RNA". The record is from RNAcentral.